RNAcentral lists this long non-coding RNA (1271 nucleotides) under Daphnia pulicaria. Its description in RNAcentral is "uncharacterized LOC124311681, transcript variant X3". Lineage: Eukaryota; Metazoa; Arthropoda; Branchiopoda; Diplostraca; Daphniidae. The record is from RNAcentral.
UAUCCUGAAAUUCGCGCUAACUUAUCCGUGUUGACUGGUGCGCCGUUCAGGUACCUUGUCCCGGUUUUUCCGAGUAGUGAAAGAAAUGCACACAUGCGGAAUAGGAUAAUGAGGCCUCCUAGGCAGGCUAUAUCACGGUUGAAAUCGUGCGUAAUUACUGGUUUGAAGUUGUAAAUUGCCAGAAUAUCUUCUCCGCUACAAGCGACGUUUUUCUCGUAAGCUGCGUAAAGACCGGUAAUGAUAUCAACAAGUUGUACAAUGGGCCCACUCGCGUCCUCAGGAAGAAGGUCAGCGAUUGCAGAGACGUUAUAGCCAACGUAUUGACAAUCUGUGUUGUUGAACUCGACGCCGUACCACUGGUUAAUGGAUAGGGCUUCAUUGCCGUACAUAAACCAGGACAGGUAACGCAACCAGUCCAGGUAAACAGGAACCGAACCAUUUUGCAGGAAAAAACCACCGAAGAGCAGUACAGGAAUAAUCAUGGGUGCUGAAAUAGCAAGAGCAACUUGGGGCGUCGACGCAACACACGAAACGAAAUAACCUGAAAUCAAAAUAUGUUCCAAGAAUUGACAAUGUGAUCUAAGAACGUGUUCCCUUUUCAUGAAGAAUAAUAAGUCUGGAUAACUCACCGAAAGAGGUGGCGACGUUUGUCACAAGAAUGACGAUACCAGCCCCGAUAAAGAAUCUUUCCACUGCCGGAUUCAAGCCAAUGAUGUAAUAUGGAAUUGCGAAGGCGAUGAACGGGAAGAGGAUGUAAACUCCCAACUCAGCAAUAGUUUUGGACAAAAAGUAGACGUCCGUCCGGUACAUGCCGUUGAAGUGCUCCCGUAAGAAUAUCGGCAAUUCGAAUGAAAAAGUCUGCAAGUUUCAAACUUUACAUUUAUAACUGCGAAGACAUUUUCGAAAGUGGCGUUGGUUAGGAACAGAAACAGAACGCCCUGAAUAUUUAAGGAGCUGCUGGCAUCCAUAGUUUGUCCUUGAUAGAUGAGGGCAAUCAAAAGAGCGAUGAACUGUCAGGUGUCAACCAAUUAACUGUUAGUUCCAUGUGUCAAACAAUUAAUGCUCUUUAUCGACUUACGACAGAAGAAGAUGCCUUCACUAACAAAAUCUGAGGAUCACGGACGACCGAGAGGAAGGAGCGCCAAAGUACGGCGGAGAACUGCUGGAAGAAAUUGGCCUUAUAUAGAAGAUUCGUAAGCAUCGCAUACGUAUUUAAUUUUUUGGCGGGACUCGGUCUCCUUGCCCGGCACAGUAGCCAAGCUAAAUAUGUA